UAACUUUUAUAGCUUACUAUCAUUGCAUGUGUCCUGUAUGAGUUAUUGUAUAUUAUAUGAAUUUGUGUCCGGUGGACAAAUAAAAUGGGGUUGUUUUCCUUACAGCAUAUCCUUACAACGGCACUUUUAAAGCAUUCUCAUUUUACCACACCUUGUAUUUUAACUCGCUUGUCUCUAACAAGUGCCUUUUAAUGUCCAUUACAGAAAUUUUCCUUGCUACAUCCAGCCUUAUCUGUCAUGGACAUGCAGUUUUCCCACUUUGUCUCUCUAUAUUUGUUUCUCAUACUCCUAGUUCCCGACUCUGCUCACCCCACACACCUUCCUGCAAUCGGCUCAUCGCCCCUCCCUGCCUACACACAUACCACCAUCAGUUCAUCAGCUUUGCAGUACUACGGAUCUUCACCCAUCCAGUGACAGAUUGUUAAAACGGAUCUUUCCUCGUCUGCUUGACUGCAGUACUCAUCCUCAUGCCAUUCCUGCCUGUCCAUGCCAUUCGCCAUGUGUGUUCUACUACCAGCCAUCUUCUGCAAAUAAAUCUCACCUUUUAUAUCUUUGUCUUUUUUUUUCUACUCUUAGGUCCACCCUGCAACACUGUCACAGAUGAAGCUUUUUGUAAUACAAAGUUAUGUUUACCCACACUGGAAAUAAAUUUCAUUAAAUUGGCGCCAUAUGAUUGUUAUGUAUAUAAUCUAUUAUUUUUUAUUUUUUUAUUUGCUCUCCAUGGCAAUGUACAUACAUUUAGCUUUUUUAUGUUAGUGACAUGUAUGCACCAACCACAUUUGAUGCGAAUCUGACACAAUUAUCCACACAGAGGAACAUCCCUUCCUACUGUAAUGUUCCUCUAUUUGCUGUGUCCUGAAUGUGCAGAGCCUAAAUCUGUUUAAGUAGCCUGCUCACCUGUGGCAAACCCUUGCGGAGAAGGCUCAUGUGAAUGCAUCGUUCCUCUGACUGCUCUGUGUAGAUAUGUAAAUGUGAUGCGCAUUUUAGUUUACAAAGCAUUUCUACCAGCUAUGAGUUAUUUAUUCCUACUUUUCUAUGCAUUGUCUUCUGUGUUAGAUAAACCAUGUAAAAUAUUUAAUAAAAUAUUUAACUGAAACUCCUGCCUUUUCUCAUCUGUUCUAACAUGCAUGCCAUUGAGGUGGUGAUAGUAGUGGAACUACACUAUCCUUCAGAAAAUCUGAAGUCUGAAUCUGAAAUUCCUUCAAGCUAAAUCUUCAUAAACUGUAAAAGAAGCCCAUUUUGCUAUGUCACACUGUUGAAAUAAAAGUCUCGCCCUAUAGAAGACAUGGCACCGCA
This is a long non-coding RNA of Micropterus salmoides (largemouth bass), 1296 nucleotides long. RefSeq lists it as uncharacterized. The record is from RefSeq and is a predicted model, not a curated record. Lineage: Eukaryota; Metazoa; Chordata; Actinopteri; Centrarchiformes; Centrarchidae. The transcript has 2 exons.